AGCUAUUUAGUUUAUUUAAAAUAUAUGUUUGUGGUACGUAAGAAAUAUAUUGCUU
Molecule: transfer RNA, 55 nt
Filed under: Protostrongylus rufescens
Lineage: Eukaryota; Metazoa; Nematoda; Chromadorea; Rhabditida; Metastrongylidae
Description: tRNA-His
Source: RNAcentral